GAUGAACGCUGGCGGCGUGCUUAACACAUGCAAGUCGAACGGAGCUUAUGUGAUAGAGGAUUCGUCCAAUUGAUCAUAAGCUUAGUGGCGGACGGGUGAGUAACGCGUGAGGAAUCUGCCUUGGAGUGGGGAAUAACACAGUGAAAAUUGUGCUAAUACCGCAUAAUGCAGUUGAGUCGCAUGGCUCUGACUGCCAAAGAUUUAUCGCUCUGAGAUGACCUCGCGUCUGAUUAGCUAGUUGGUGAGGUAACGGCUCACCAAGGCGACGAUCAGUAGCCGGACUGAGAGGUUGGCCGGCCACAUUGGGACUGAGACACGGCCCAGACUCCUACGGGAGGCAGCAGUGGGGAAUAUUGGGCAAUGGGGCGCAAGCCUGACCCAGCAACGCCGCGUGAAGGAAGAAGGCUUUCGGGUUGUAAACUUCUUUUGUCAGGGACGAACAAAUGACGGUACCUGACG
This 459-nucleotide ribosomal RNA is filed under the name uncultured bacterium. RNAcentral's name for it is "bacterial SSU rRNA". It matches the Rfam family "Bacterial small subunit ribosomal RNA", at positions 28 to 484 of the family's 1533-position model. The record is from RNAcentral.